GAUGAACGCUGGCGGCGUGCCUAAUACAUGCAAGUCGAGCGAACAGACGAGGCGCUUGCUCCUCUCACGUUAGCCGCGGACGGGUGAGUAACACGUGUAUAACCUACCUAUAAGACUGGGAUAACUUCGGGAAACCGGAGAUUAUACCGGAUAAUCUACUGAACCGCAUGGUUCAAUAGUGAAAGACGGCUUUGCUGUCACUUAUAGAGGGAUCCCGGCCGCAUUAGAUAGUUGGUAGGGUAACGGGCUACCAAGGGAAGGAUGCGUAAGCGACGGGAGAGGGGGGUCGGCGACACGAGAGGGGGGACACGGUCCAGGGUACUAAGGGAGGCAGCAGUAGGGAAUGUGCCGCAAUAGGCGAAAGCCUGACGGAGCAACGGGGCGUGAGUGAUGGAGGUCUUCGGAUCGUAAAACUCUGUUAUGAGGGAAGAACAAAUGUGUAAGUAGCUAUGCACGGCUUGACGGUACCGGAUCAGAAAGCCACGGCUAACUACGUG
RNAcentral lists this ribosomal RNA (497 nucleotides) under uncultured bacterium. RNAcentral's name for it is "partial 16S ribosomal RNA". It matches the Rfam family "Bacterial small subunit ribosomal RNA", at positions 28 to 507 of the family's 1533-position model. The record is from RNAcentral.